This is a long non-coding RNA of Ictalurus punctatus (channel catfish), 590 nucleotides long. RefSeq lists it as uncharacterized. The transcript has 5 exons. Lineage: Eukaryota; Metazoa; Chordata; Actinopteri; Siluriformes; Ictaluridae. The record is from RefSeq and is a predicted model, not a curated record.
AGUUUCAUCACUUAGUCCAAUGUAUCUUGCCUGAACCAUUUCUUAGAGUACUCCACAAGGGUUAAGCGUUAAACAGUUUUCCAUUACACCAUAAGAGCACAAGUCCACCUGCCAGAACUGGCCUCCACUGAGAUGCUUGUAAUCACUCUGCCGUUUGAGAUUUAAGAAUGGGAGACACUUUCAAAAGGGAGCAGAUGUGUGAAGGUUCAUUGCAGAAAGCAGGCAAUACAUCAGCACUGAGAUUUGUUCAGUCAUGGCUAAAGCUGUGUUUGGCGAGGGCAGCAUUCUCACUCACAGCAAAGGUCAAGAUCAACUUAACACGCCGCAGCACUUCCAUCAGUGGCUAUAACACAGUGUUCUACUUAGCCCUUUUGGAUUGUUCUCAUACUGUUAAGGUGAAAUGCCUUAGCCGGUGCUGCUCAUACAACCAGCUUAAGUGACGUGUGGCCGAAACUAACUACGUCAUCAGUACUGGGUUAAAAAUCAAGUAUAGUGGUAAGUAUAGUGUGCAUGCAGAAGUUUGAGACUUCUCUCUUUUUUUAAUGGGAGAGAGAAAAUGCUAUAAAUAAAAUUCCAUUUACUUUUGGGAA